This 382-nucleotide ribosomal RNA is filed under the name uncultured bacterium. Its description in RNAcentral is "bacterial SSU rRNA". It matches the Rfam family "Bacterial small subunit ribosomal RNA", at positions 29 to 414 of the family's 1533-position model. The record is from RNAcentral.
AUUGAACGCUGGCGGCAGGCCUAACACAUGCAAGUCGAGCGGUAGCAGGCCUUCGGGCGCUGACGAGCGGCGGACGGGUGAGGAACACGUAGGAAUUUGCCUGGUAGUGGGGGAUAGCCCAGAGAAAUUUGGAGUAAUACCGCAUAUGCCCUGAGGGGGAAAGUGGGGGACCGCAAGGCCUCACGCUAUUAGAGAAGCCUGCGUCGGAUUAGCUAGUUGGUAGGGUAAAGGCCUACCAAGGCGACGAUCCGUAGCUGGUCUGAGAGGAUGAUCAGCCACACUGGGACUGAGACACGGCCCAGACUCCUACGGGAGGCAGCAGUGGGGAAUAUUGGACAAUGGGCGAAAGCCUGAUCCAGCCAUGCCGCGUGUGUGAAGAAGG